GAGAGUUUGAUCAUGGCUCAGAACGAACGCUGGCGGCGUGCUUAACACAUGCAAGUCGAACGCGAACGGGACUUCGGUUCCUAGUAGAGUGGCGCACGGGUGAGUAACGCGUAGAUAACCUGUCUUCAUAUCCGGAAUAACACGCCGAAAGGGGUACUAAUACCGGAUAUUCUUGCAUUUCACAGGUAAGGCAAGGAAAGGUGGCCUCUGAUUCAAGCUACUGUAUGAAGAGGGGUCUGCGUACCAUUAGCUAGUAGGUGGGGUAAUGGCCUACCUAGGCGACGAUGGUUAGCGGGUCUGAGGGGACGAUCCGCCACACUGGCACUGGAAUACGGGCCAGACUCCUACGGGAGGCAGCAGUGAGGAAUAUUGCGCAAUGGGGGCAACCCUGACGCAGCGACGCCGCGUGAGUGAGGAAGGUCUUCGGAUCGUAAAGCUCUGUCAAGAGGGAAGAAGUGCAAGGCAGCGAAUAACUGUUUUGUUUGACGGUACCUCUAAAGGAAGCACCGGCUAACUCCGUGCCAGCAGCCGCGGUAAUACGGAGGGUGCGAGCGUUGUUCGGAAUCACUGGGCGUAAAGGGCGCGCAGGCGGGCUGUCAAGUCAGAUGUGAAAUCCCACGGCUUAACUGUGGACGUGCAUUUGAAACUGGCAGUCUUGAGUACCAGAGGGGAAUGUGGAAUUCCCGGUGUAGAGGUGAAAUUCGUAGAUAUCGGGAGGAAUACCGGUGGCGAAGGCGACAUUCUGGCUGGAUACUGACGCUGAGGCGCGAAAGCGUGGGGAGCAAACAGGAUUAGAUACCCUGGUAGUCCACGCCGUAAACGAUGUGAACUAGAUGCAGGGGGUGUUGAUCCCCUCUGUGUCGCAGCUAACGCAUUAAGUUCACCGCCUGGGGAGUACGGUCGCAAGAUUAAAACUCAAAGGAAUUGACGGGGGCCCGCACAAGCGGUGGAGCACGUGGUUUAAUUCGAUGCAAACCGAAGAACCUUACCUGGGUUUGACAUGUACGUAGUAAGAGUCUGAAAGGAUGAUGACAUUACCUUCGGGUAAUGAGCGUACACAGGUGCUGCAUGGCUGUCGUCAGCUCGUGUCGUGAGAUGUUGGGUUAAGUCCCGCAACGAGCGCAACCCCUGCGAUUAGUUGCUAACGGGUAAGGCUGAGCACUCUAAUGGGACUGCCAUCGACAAGAUGGAGGAAGGUGGGGAUGACGUCAAGUCAUCAUGGCCCUUAUGUCCAGGGCGACACACGUGCUACAAUGGCCGGUACAGAGGGAAGCGAGGCCGAGAGGUUGAGCGGAUCCCAUAAAGCCGGUCUCAGUUCGGAUUGAAGUCUGCAAUUCGACUUCAUGAAGCUGGAAUCGCUAGUAAUCGCAGAUCAGCCAAGCUGCGGUGAAUACGUUCCCGGGCCUUGUACACACCGCCCGUCACACCACCCGAGCCGGGUGUACCCGAAGCCGGUGGCCUAACCUUAUGGGAGGAGCCGUCGAAGGUGUGUCUGGUGAGGGGGGUGAAGUCGUAACAAGGUAGCCGUACCGGAAGGUGCGGCUGGAACACCU
RNAcentral lists this ribosomal RNA (1553 nucleotides) under uncultured bacterium. RNAcentral's name for it is "bacterial SSU rRNA". It matches the Rfam family "Bacterial small subunit ribosomal RNA". The record is from RNAcentral.